This is a non-coding RNA of Podarcis lilfordi (Lilford's wall lizard), 69 nucleotides long. Lineage: Eukaryota; Metazoa; Chordata; Lepidosauria; Squamata; Lacertidae. The record is from the annotation of a GenBank genome assembly.
GACAGCUCAGCUGGUUAGAGCAUAGCGCUGGCAAUGCCAAGGUUGCAGGUUUGAUCCCCGUAUGGGACA